ACUCCUACGGGAGGCAGCAGUGGGGAAUAUUGCGCAAUGGGGGCAGCCCUGACGCAGCCAUGCCGCGUGAAUGAAGAAGGCCUUCGGGUUGUAAAGUUCUUUCGGUAGCGAGGAAGGCAUUUAGUUUAAUAGACUAGGUGAUUGACGUUAACUACAGAAGAAGCACCGGCUAACUCCGUGCCAGCAGCCGCGGUAAUAC
RNAcentral lists this ribosomal RNA (199 nucleotides) under uncultured Haemophilus sp. RNAcentral's name for it is "partial 16S ribosomal RNA". It matches the Rfam family "Bacterial small subunit ribosomal RNA", at positions 335 to 526 of the family's 1533-position model. The record is from RNAcentral. Lineage: Bacteria; Pseudomonadati; Pseudomonadota; Gammaproteobacteria; Pasteurellales; Pasteurellaceae.